This is a long non-coding RNA of Mugil cephalus (flathead mullet), 1506 nucleotides long. RefSeq lists it as uncharacterized. The transcript has 2 exons. NCBI's taxonomy places the organism in Eukaryota, Metazoa, Chordata, Actinopteri, Mugiliformes, Mugilidae. The record is from RefSeq and is a predicted model, not a curated record.
ACUGAGCGAAACAGGGCGACACUCUCCUCACAAUAGUUGUGUUUUUGGUCAGUAAGCGGGUAUUUUGUGACAGCACGCAGCCGAGCCGAUGUUGGCCAUUGUUCUAAACAGGACGGUAUGUGAGCUGAGAGAGGAUGAGCUGAGUCCUGAUGAUCCAGAGGUUGAAUCAGCAGCAGCUUGUGUGUAGAGAGACUCUGACUGGACCAUGUUACUGGGAGGUGGAGUCAAGAGGAGAGCUUCAUCUUCUCUAAAAUAAGCCGCGAGUUCUUCAACACAUACUUCAAAAUAAUUCUCUUUCUUUUAUUUCACUGAUUGUUUUAGUCAUGCAUUGAUGUCGAUGGUAGCAUAUUAAAAUUGCUAAACGGACAAUAGAACUUGCGAAAGUGCUACAGAUUUAGUUUAUCUUAUAAAAUCCUAAACUAUGAGAGGAAUGCGAUUCGUACUGAAAAGUUGUGGAAUAGCGUUAAUCCGAGGUGUCACUUAUGUGAAAUGAAGUAGUUAAAUAGAGCAGACACAGAAAAUCCGCUGUAAUUAGCAUCAGCUAACCUAGCCUAGCCUGUGGCUCUCACUCUAUCAUGUCUAUGGACUCACAUACAGACAACGAGUGUUGCUGCCCUCUAGUGGACAGAAACUGUCAUUACACGUGAAGCGUUAAGUUAAUUAAAAUUAAAUACGGACAGUACUUCCGGUUAACAUUCAAAAGUAAAAGUCGAAACACCUGUGUGCUGUAGUGAAUGAAAAUAAAGUACCACUUAUAAAUGAAACUUUUUCAAGAAGGACUGUUAUUAUUUUUUAUAUUCCAUUUAAAUAUAAAUGCUUUUAAAAUAGAAAAAUAUUCCAUGCAUAUUGGUACUUGAAAAUAAAAAUAUUUGAACUAUGAACUCCAGUGCAGAAAGACUAUGGAAAUAAUUUAAUUUUAAAUUUAAUUUUUAGUAUUACAUUACUAUGACAUGGAAUUGGUGUUCACUUGAUUUACACUUGUAUAGAUGUAAUGAUUGUGUGUGUAAUUUCUAUCUUUUCAUGUGACUUUUUAAAUAUGUAUUUACUUCAGAUUGUGUUGAUUGAACACUGCGUCUAAAAUGCCUUGAGCAUCCUGACUGUAGGGUUGAGAAUGUUAAAAUAAUAAAAGUCAAAUCUAAGAAAUAUAUAAAUAAACAAUAAGAUAAUGUACGAAUGCAUAAAACUAUAUUUUCCCCUUUUUUCAUUUUAUAAAACCAAAAGUACACAUAUAUCUCUCAUGUUUGGUCUCUGUGUAUUGUAAACGAAACCAUAUUUAUAAUUCUUUGAUUUGUGACCAUUGUGUCGGUUUAUAUCAGUGGUAAAUAAUAUAUAUAUUAAGUUUUACUUUAUUUUUAAGUAGGAGAUUUUAUCCAUGGUUGGGUCCUGAGAGACACAGUGGUGUCAUUGAAUUGUUGCUCUUUUUGGCAAAACUCUGCAACAUUUCUAUGUUAAUAAUUACAACAAUUAUGACUAUGACAAUGAAAACAAUAAAAGAUAUUUAUUUCA